GAUGAACGCUGGCGGCGUGCCUAAUACAUGCAAGUCGAGCGAACGGACGAGAAGCUUGCUUCUCUGAUGUUAGCGGCGGACGGGUGAGUAACACGUGGAUAACCUACCUAUAAGACUGGGAUAACUUCGGGAAACCGGAGCUAAUACCGGAUAAUAUUUUGAACCGCAUGGUUCAAAAGUAAAAGACGGUCUUGCUGUCACUUAUAGAUGGAUCCGCGCUGCAUUAGCUAGUUGGUAAGGUAACGGCUUACCAAGGCAACGAUGCAUAGCCGACCUGAGAGGGUGAUCGGCCACACUGGAACUGAGACACGGUCCAGACUCCUACGGGAGGCAGCAGUAGGGAAUCUUCCGUAAUGGGCGAAAGCCUGACGGAGCAACGCCGCGUGAGUGAUGAAGGUCUUCGGAUCGUAAAACUCUGUUAUUAGGGAAGAACAUAUGUGUAAGUAACUGUGCACAUCUUGACGGUACCUAAUCAGAAAGCCACGGCUAACUACGUG
RNAcentral lists this ribosomal RNA (497 nucleotides) under uncultured bacterium. Its description in RNAcentral is "partial 16S ribosomal RNA". It matches the Rfam family "Bacterial small subunit ribosomal RNA", at positions 28 to 507 of the family's 1533-position model. The record is from RNAcentral.